Molecule: small RNA, 37 nt
Filed under: Romboutsia ilealis
Lineage: Bacteria; Bacillati; Bacillota; Clostridia; Peptostreptococcales; Peptostreptococcaceae
Description: CRISPR spacer
Source: RNAcentral
AAAGACUGUAUCUAUAAAUGUGCUUAAAAGUGAACAU